AAGACCUUUGCGCUUUUGGAGCGGCCGAUGCCUGAUUAGCUUGUUGGUAAGGUAAAGGCUUACCAAGGCUUCGAUCAGUAGCUGGUCUGAGAGGACGGCCAGCCACACUGGGACUGAGACACGGCCCAGACUCCUACGGGAGGCAGCAGUGGGGAAUUUUGGACAAUGGGGGAAACCCUGAUCCAGCCAUGCCGCGUGAGUGAAGAAGGCCUUCGGGUUGUAAAGCUCUUUCAGCCGGAACGAAACGGUUACGGAUAAUACCCGUGACUACUGACGGUACCGGAAGAAGAAGCACCGGCUAACUACGUGCCAGCAGCCGCGGUAAUACGUAGGGUGCGAGCGUUAAUCGGAAUUACUGGGCGUAAAGCGUGCGCAGGUGGUUUUGUAAGUCAGAUGUGAAAGCCCCGGGCUCAACCUGGGAACU
RNAcentral lists this ribosomal RNA (424 nucleotides) under uncultured bacterium. RNAcentral's name for it is "bacterial SSU rRNA". It matches the Rfam family "Bacterial small subunit ribosomal RNA", at positions 202 to 622 of the family's 1533-position model. The record is from RNAcentral.